This 507-nucleotide ribosomal RNA is filed under the name uncultured Glomeromycotina. Its description in RNAcentral is "SSU rRNA". It matches the Rfam family "Eukaryotic small subunit ribosomal RNA", at positions 569 to 1078 of the family's 1831-position model. The record is from RNAcentral. Lineage: Eukaryota; Fungi; Glomeromycota.
AGCAGCCGCGGUAAUUCCAGCUCCAAUAGCGUAUAUUAAAGUUGCUGCAGUUAAAAAGCUCGUAGUUGAACUUCGGGACCAUCAUGUCGGUCGUGCCUCGGUACGUACUGGCAUCGUUGGUUUCUCCCUUCUGAAGAACCAUGAUGUCAUUAAUUUGGUGUCUUGGGGAAUCAGGACUGUUACUUUGAAAAAAUUAGAGUGUUUAAAGCAGGCUCGCGCUUGAAUACAUUAGCAUGGAAUAAUGAAAUAGGACGUUUGAUUCUAUUUUGUUGGUUUCUAGGAUCGACGUAAUGAUUAAUAGGGAUAGUUGGGGGCAUUAGUAUUCAAUUGUCAGAGGUGAAAUUCUUGGAUUUAUUGAAGACUAACUACUGCGAAAGCAUUUGCCAAGGAUGUUUUCAUUAAUCAAGAACGAAAGUUAGGGGAUCGAAGACGAUCAGAUACCGUCGUAGUCUUAACCAUAAACUAUGCCGACUAGGGAUCGGAUGAUGUUAAUUUUUUAAUGACUCA